UAGGGAAUAUUGCGCAAUGGGCGAAAGCCUGACGCAGCAACGCCGCGUGAGGGACGAAGGCCUUCGGGUUGUAAACCUCUUUCAGCAGGGAAGAAGCGAGAGUGACGGUACCUGCAGAAGAAGCACCGGCUAACUACGUGCCAGCAGCCGCGGUAAUACGUAGGGUGCAAGCGUUGUCCGGAAUUAUUGGGCGUAAAGAGCUCGUAGGCGGUCUGUCGCGUCUGCCGUGAAAGUUCGGGGCUCAACCCCGGAACUGCAGUGGGUACGGGCAGACUGGAGUGCGGUAGAGGAGACUGGAAUUCCUGGUGUAGCGGUGGAAUGCGCAGAUAUCAGGAGGAACACCAGUGGCGAAGGCGGGUCUCUGGGCCGCAACUGACGCUGAGGAGCGAAAGCAUGGGGAGCGAGCAGGAUUAGAUACCCCGGUAGUCC
This 429-nucleotide ribosomal RNA is filed under the name uncultured prokaryote. RNAcentral describes it as "bacterial SSU rRNA". It matches the Rfam family "Bacterial small subunit ribosomal RNA", at positions 355 to 796 of the family's 1533-position model. The record is from RNAcentral.